UAUUUAUUUCAUUCUUCAAAUGUAUUAGAACCUUUUGUUUUGUCAACAAAAUAAAAAUUUCACAUUUCUAUUGAUGAUAAACCAAGCAGCUAAAAUCAUGAGUAAGUUUCUUUGCAAACUAUUCUAAAGUCAGAUGUUCAGUUGUUCCUAAUUGCAAAUCAGUGAGUGAAUGUCUGUCGAAUAUCCAACUAACUUCACCUCAGUAAUCUGUGGAGUGGGAUGGCAAUGAAAGAUAUUUAAUACCAGUUAUAUUUGUUUUAUUUCUACAGUAGCAUUGCUGUGCCAUUUUUAUGGAAUAUAUGAUUUAAAAAGUCUCAGUUAGCCUUCAUAGCUGAGUGAACACCAGCACUAGAUAGCUACGUUAGCUGUCAAAGAUUCCACCGGUGUAGAUAACAACACAGUAAUAAUAUAGUCUAUUCCCUAAAUAAAACCAAUAAAAAUGUUCAAACUUACUUGUGAAAGGUAAUCCCCCGAUCCCUGGCUUCAAUAGUCCGCCCAUUUGAGCAGGCAUAUGCCGCACAAUGCUCAGGCAUCUUGUGUUUGUCUUCUUUAUUUUUGUUUGUCUUGGCGACAGGACGACCGGUCCAAGAUGGCGGCCGCAAUUCCUGCGCUCCAGCAGCCAAUGCGGCAUCUACUCUCUAUAUGAUAUCUAUGAUGACAACAAUAGCCAGUCAGCCCCUCCCCCCGGUCCGUGCUGACCGGUCUGCUGAUGUGAGUUGCCCACGUGUCCUCCAUUGCUGCCCUGCAGUUCUCUGUGCUGUUUUUGAAGCUUGUGUCCUGAGAUGUGCCACUCCACCUGGUUGGGAAAAAUUGUGGAGGUCAAGCUCAAGAAAGUGUUUGUCAGCAAAUGUACGGCCAGAGCAGGUUCUAAGCAGUAGGUCACUGCUAUGAUCUACAGUAUGUGGACUGGUUACUCUUUCAUCCUUUAUUUAUUUCUGUUUUUAAUUUUCGUGGACCAGGAGUUUUAAUACAGUUCCUGCCAAGUGUGUUCUAGGAUUUGGAAGCAUGUAAGUUCACUUGUUUCAAAGCCAAGUGAGAUUCCUCCUUGUACCUCAGCAGUGCUGUCAGUGUGUUUAGAAUCUAGAAGUAUUCAUUAUCACCACGUCGGCCAGAUUGAGUACGCCACACUUCAUGUACUUAAUGCUGGACCAGAUGACCCUACAGGACAGCACCCUGAAGUUUUUUUCCAAGGAUUUUUAAUCUUGUCUGGUGUCCGUGGCAGAAAUAAGAUCCUGUCCACAUUUGUUAUGGGAGAGAUCACACAUCAAUAUAAUGGUUGGGUCAUCUUGACCCUAUAAGAGAGCUCAAGGACUAAAGUACUUUUAAAUGAUUAAAAAAAAUAAUUUAGUUAAAACCGACUUUUCAACGAGGGGGUUAGUAAACAAUGUCAGCGCUUGUAUUUAAUUUAUUUUUGUAUCUCAUUUAUGUUUUAUAUUUCUGUAUUUUGUUUAGAAAAUGUAAAGAGUCUAAUGCUGUUAUCCCAAUACAAAUGUUGUACUGAUGGUGCUGGUCAAAUGCCAAAUAAAAUGUAACAUUUACAUA
Oryzias melastigma (Indian medaka) is the source of this 1542-nucleotide long non-coding RNA. RefSeq lists it as uncharacterized. Lineage: Eukaryota; Metazoa; Chordata; Actinopteri; Beloniformes; Adrianichthyidae. The record is from RefSeq and is a predicted model, not a curated record. The transcript is spliced from 3 exons.